AUCUCAGCUCACUGCAACCUCCGCCUCCCGGGUUCAAGCGAUUUUCCUGCCUCAGCCUCCUGAGUAGCUGGGAUUACAGGCAUGCACCGUCACACCCAGCUAAUUUUUGUAUUUUAAUACUGACAGGGUUUCAUUAUAUCGGCCAGGCUGGUCUCAAACUUUUAACCUCAGGUGAUCCACCCGCCUUGGCCUCCCAAGGUUUUGGGAUUACAGGCAUGAGCCACCAAGCCUGGAAAAAUA
RNAcentral lists this long non-coding RNA (240 nucleotides) under Homo sapiens (human). Its description in RNAcentral is "non-protein coding lnc-ZRANB1-6:1". The record is from RNAcentral. Lineage: Eukaryota; Metazoa; Chordata; Mammalia; Primates; Hominidae.